This 115-nucleotide non-coding RNA is filed under the name Hydrogenophaga sp. RNAcentral describes it as "TPP sequence". It matches the Rfam family "TPP riboswitch aptamer (THI element)". Rfam says of the family: Vitamin B(1) in its active form thiamin pyrophosphate (TPP) is an essential coenzyme that is synthesised by coupling of pyrimidine and thiazole moieties in bacteria. The previously detected thiamin-regulatory element, thi box was extended, resulting in a new, highly conserved RNA secondary structure, the THI element, which is widely distributed in eubacteria and also occurs in some archaea. Analysis of operon structures identified a large number of new candidate thiamin-regulated genes, mostly transporters, in various prokaryotic organisms. Lineage: Bacteria; Pseudomonadati; Pseudomonadota; Betaproteobacteria; Burkholderiales; Comamonadaceae. The record is from RNAcentral.
ACUGCUGCUCCGGGGUGCACCGAUCUGAAAAGGUUGGGCGCUGAGACGGCCUAACCGCCGAACCCGUGAACUUGAUCCGGUUAGUACCGGCGAAAGAAGAGCGCAUGCCCCACGC